UGCUAUUAGCAAAGAAAGAAGCAAAGAAGACAACAAAGACCAACCUGGUACCAAAGGGUCCCACCAUAUGGUCCCCACUUCUUCCAGCUUCAAAUUGCCAAAUUCAAAAUUUUCGGAAAAAAUUUGACCGGAAAAUUUAUCCCAAAUUGAAAACCAGGACCUGCUAUGCUUUCUCUCUCCUAACUCCCAAAACACAACCAGUUCUAUUCUCUCUCUACUCUCUCUGUCACCACCAGGUCCACCACCACCACCUCCGACGCCGACCUCGAAGCCACCGACGCUAGUACGACGUCACCAUCGCCAGCCAAAGCAAUACGGACGCCACCACCGAAGCCACCAUUCUCUCUCUCUCUCUCUCUCUCUCUCUCUCUCUCUCUCUCUCUCUCUCUCUCUCUCUCUCUCAUAAGGUGAAUUCCUGAUCACUUCACCCUUUAAGAAACGUAUUAUGUCUCCUUGUAGUUGUAAUCUUCUCCAUUUUGUUCACGUUUUGGAAAAACCUCCAAAUCCCAAAUUAGUGUUUUUUUAUAAGAAUAAUGGACAGAGUCCUAAUUUGACUUUAUAACAUCAUAACCUACAUCCCUCUCAAUUUAAUUGAAAAAACAGUAUGAAACAUGUUUAUUCAAUUAAAAUCAAGGUUUCAAUUGAGGAAGAGAAACUCAAUUCGAGUAUCACGUGGUUAAAAGUUAAAACCAUUGGUAUUGCAGAUUGCGUUCACAAGGAAAAGAGAUUGGUGAAAGAAGAACAGAGGCUCAAAGGGGCACAUGCACAGAGGACUUUUCAUGGGCUGCAACCUCCUGAGACCAAUAUGAUGUUUGCGGAUCGCAGUGAUUUCGCAUAUCUUAAUUUGAUGGCCGAGGGGCAAGGAUGCGGAGAUAUGAGAUGAGAUUGCAAGGUAAAAUUUUGAGAAAUUUGCAUAUAAAACAAUACAGCUCAAAGGGUGCAUUGAUCAGGUUGAUGCUGGAGCUCGGAGAAUGGUGAGCUAGCAAGGGCAGGUUUAGUUUGCAGCAAGUAAGGCGGAUUGUGAGCUUGUUGGCUGCAUUGUUUUUGUAACGGAUGGAGUGCGGAAAGCUAAUUCGGGUUAUGGAGUAGCAGCCUGGGUUCAGUUGAACGGUGAAGGUUUAGAGGUGGCCAAUUAGGUGCGGUUUUGUCAUGCGUCUUCAGCAGAUAUGGUGGUGAUCCGAGCGGGGUUGCUAAUUUUUAAGUGGGCUUCUGAGCAUGGUAUUCCUGAAGUUUGCAUUCCUACGGAUUCCACCGUUUUUGUUCAGGGUCUUUGUGAUCCUUCAGGAGCUGAUGUUAUUUGCAAGAAGCUCUUUUGAUCUUUUGUUUUUUGAGCUCCUCUUUUAAUCUUGUAAAGGUCAUAGAGGUUUCGAAACUUGUAAUCUUCCAAUAACCACUUGUGCAAUUUAUUCCA
Molecule: long non-coding RNA, 1411 nt
Organism: Rhododendron vialii
Lineage: Eukaryota; Viridiplantae; Streptophyta; Magnoliopsida; Ericales; Ericaceae
Exons: 2
Source: RefSeq, a predicted model, not a curated record